GAUGAAGAACGUAGCGAAAUGCGAUACUUGGUGUGAAUUGCAGAAUCCCGUGAACCAUCGAGUCUUUGAACGCAAGUUGCGCCCGAAGCCAUUAGGCCGAGGGCACGCCUGCCUGGGCGUCACACGUCGUUGCCCCCCCAUCUACUCCUUCGGGAUUGCGGGGGGCGGAUGAUGGCCUCUCGUGCGCCUCGUCGCGCGGUUGGCCUAAAUGCCAAGUCCUCGGCGACGCACGCCACGACAAUCGGUGGUUGCGAAACCUCGGUUGCCUGUCGUGUGCGGUCGUCGCGCAUCGAGGGCUCGAAAAAAUUGCCGGGCUUCGGCUCGACUUUCGACGCGACCCCAGGUCAGGCGGGGUUACCCGCUGAAUUUAAGCAUAUCAAUAAGCGGAGG
This 390-nucleotide unclassified non-coding RNA is filed under the name soil metagenome. RNAcentral's name for it is "partial contains 5.8S ribosomal RNA, internal transcribed spacer 2, and large subunit ribosomal RNA". The stretch from base 1 to 122 matches the Rfam family "5.8S ribosomal RNA", at positions 35 to 154 of the family's 154-position model. The record is from RNAcentral.